UACAGAGGUCUCAAACGUUGUUCGGAUUCAUUGGGCGUAAAGGGUGCGUAGGCGGCGCGGUAAGUCGGGUGUGAAAUCUCGGAGCUUAACUCCGAAACUGCAUUCGAUACUGCCGUGCUUGAGGACUGGAGAGGAGACUGGAAUUUACGGUGUAGCGGUGAAAUGCGUAGAUAUCGUAAGGAAGACCAGUGGCGAAGGCGGGUCUCGUGGACAGUUCCUGACGCUGAGGCACGAAGGCCAGGGGAGCAAACGGG
RNAcentral lists this ribosomal RNA (254 nucleotides) under uncultured bacterium. RNAcentral's name for it is "partial 16S ribosomal RNA". It matches the Rfam family "Bacterial small subunit ribosomal RNA", at positions 524 to 776 of the family's 1533-position model. The record is from RNAcentral.